AGCGAACGCUGGCGGCAUGCCUAACACAUGCAAGUCGCACGGGGGGGCUUCGGCCUCCCAGUGGCGGACGGGUGAGGAACGCGUAGGGACCUGUCGAGGGGUGGGGGAUAACCGCGGGAAACUGCGGCUAAUACCGCAUGACGCCGCGGCGUGACAGCCGGGGCCAAAGGCGAAAGCCGCCCGCCGAGGGGCCUGCGUCCGAUUAGCUGGUUGGCGGGGUAGCGGCCCAGCAAGGCGUCGAUCGGUAGCUGGUCUGAGAGGGUGAUCAGCCACACCGGGACUGCGACACGGCCCGGACUCCUACGGGAGGCAGCAGUGGGGAAUAUUGGACGAUGGGCGCAAGCCUGAUCCCGCAGUGCCGCGUGGGUGAAGAAGGUCUUCGGAUUGUAAAGCCCUUUCGGCGGGGACGAUGGUGACGGUACCCGCAGAAGAAGCCCCGGCUAACUUCGUG
RNAcentral lists this ribosomal RNA (451 nucleotides) under uncultured bacterium. RNAcentral describes it as "partial 16S ribosomal RNA". It matches the Rfam family "Bacterial small subunit ribosomal RNA", at positions 28 to 507 of the family's 1533-position model. The record is from RNAcentral.